UUUAAUCGAGACGGUCGAUUCGUCGAAAGGCUACAUCGAUCAUGUAGUCGCGAAGCGGCGUUUCAAUGGCAAGAAACUAAAUCAGAAGUCGCGCUAGUGUGUUCAGAAUUAAAUGGUGCGACAGAAACGACUUUUUUCCAGACGGUGAUUUAUAAUUAUCUAGAAACCUUUAGUGCAUCCACAGAUGUGUAAUGUGAACAUACGAACAAAUAACUUCGACUUUGUCCGCGGAUUUGUCACGGCGAAAUGAAGGACUCUGAACAUCUCUGCGAAAAGAAUUAGAUUAACUUACGGCCUUAUCACCGCAACCCCUUUGGACAUCAUUAUGACAAAGCAGCCGCCUCAAUUUCUGUGCCAAGAAGCGCGAUGACUGCCAGAAAUUCUUGGAGACAACGAC
Molecule: long non-coding RNA, 397 nt
Filed under: Acromyrmex echinatior (Panamanian leafcutter ant)
Lineage: Eukaryota; Metazoa; Arthropoda; Insecta; Hymenoptera; Formicidae
Description: uncharacterized LOC105150070, transcript variant X1
Source: RNAcentral